UAAAACAAUUGUGCUUUGAAGAAUUGAUAUAAUGUCGAAAAAGAACGAGCUAUCGUCACUGACUAAUUUAUUGUCGAAAGGAUGCAUUCUAAGACGGCCGCGACAAUUGAGGUUUUCAUCGAGUUCCAAAGUAAUAUUACGUGGUGACUGACUAUUCAGUGAGUUCCUUUAAAUUCAACGUUACAUGCACUCAAUUGGAUUAAGAUGAUGUUAGUGAGUCGCAGAUUUACAUAAUUCGUCAUCAUCUCACGGAUCUCGAAGAGUAGAUAUAAUUGCUCAUCACUUUGAUCCUCAUGAAUAAAAAUGAUUGGCAAUGUUUCUUUGGAAUGGAAGUGACAGGAGUUCACUCACCGAAUGAUGUCUCGUCUAUAGUGGCUCUUCCGAUCCAAUGUUCCGGAUAUUUAUUAAGUGAUCGAUAAAUCGUCCUGGCAUUUAAAGCCAUAUAGAACUUGAUGUUAUAUUUAUGCCGAGCUCCUUAUAUUUCUUCUGGAAUACCUUCUGGAAAAAACGAAAUUAUGAAUACAGAGGCGUCUUGUCUAGCUCGAGGUACGCAGCUCACGUUGUUUAAAUUAUUAAUCUAACCCAGAGUUACGCCGGCGGCCGCUUUGCAGACUCAUGUUUACUCACGUUUACAUCAUAUCCUAGUAAUGCCCAAUCCGGUAACAAGGACUGAAGAGACAUACAAGUGCUUAAUUUUCCAAACUGUGUAAUUGGUUGACAUUAUUAUAUUAGCAGCUGAUUGGUGGAUAGUGGUUUGGGCCUUUGUAUUAGCGCUCAAUGCGUAAUGGCAUUUUAUGCUACAAGAACUCAGGGUAUUUUAUGUUCGAGGAAUGAUAAACGGUUCGAGGCGAA
This is a long non-coding RNA of Bradysia coprophila, 852 nucleotides long. RefSeq lists it as uncharacterized. Lineage: Eukaryota; Metazoa; Arthropoda; Insecta; Diptera; Sciaridae. The record is from RefSeq and is a predicted model, not a curated record.